This 508-nucleotide ribosomal RNA is filed under the name uncultured Nocardioides sp. RNAcentral describes it as "bacterial SSU rRNA". It matches the Rfam family "Bacterial small subunit ribosomal RNA", at positions 9 to 523 of the family's 1533-position model. Lineage: Bacteria; Bacillati; Actinomycetota; Actinomycetes; Propionibacteriales; Nocardioidaceae. The record is from RNAcentral.
GAGUUUGAUCAUGGCCAGGACGACCCCUGGCGGCGUGCUUAACACAUGCAAGUCGAGCGGUAACCCUCCUUCGGGAGUACACGAGCGGCGAACGGGUGAGUAACACGUGAGUAAUCUGCCCUUCACUUCGGGAUAACCACCGGAAACGGUGGGCUAAUACCGGAUACGACCAGUCCCGGCAUCGGGUGCUGGUGGAAAGUCUUUUCGGUGGAGGAUGUGCUCGCGGCCUAUCAGUUUGUUGGUGGGGUAAUGGCCUACCAAGGCUUCGACGGGUAGCCGGCCUGAGAGGGUGACCGGCCACACUGGGACUGAGACACGGCCCAGACUCCUACGGGAGGCAGCAGUGGGGAAUAUUGGACAAUGGUCGAAAGCCUGAUCCAGCAACGCCGCGUGAGGGAUGACGGCCUUCGGGUUGUAAACCUCUUUCAGUACCGACGAAGCGCCCUGUCGGGUGGUGACGGUAGGUACAGAAGAAGGACCGGCCAACUACGUGCCAGCAGCGCGGUAA